RNAcentral lists this ribosomal RNA (350 nucleotides) under uncultured bacterium. RNAcentral's name for it is "bacterial SSU rRNA". It matches the Rfam family "Bacterial small subunit ribosomal RNA", at positions 355 to 697 of the family's 1533-position model. The record is from RNAcentral.
UGGGGAAUAUUGCACAAUGGGGGAAACCCUGAUGCAGCCAUGCCGCGUGUGUGAAGAAGGCUCUAGGGUUGUAAAGCACUUUAAGCAGGGAGGAAGGCUGUAAAGUUAAUACCUUUGCAGAUUGACGUUACCUGCAGAAUAAGCACCGGCUAACUCCGUGCCAGCAGCCGCGGUAAUACGGAGGGUGCAAGCGUUAAUCGGAAUUACUGGGCGUAAAGCGCGCGUAGGCGGUUUGUUAAGUCAGAUGUGAAAGCCCAGGGCUCAACCUUGGAACUGCAUCUGAUACUGGCAGGCUAGAGUACAGGAGAGGGAAGUGGAAUUUCAGGUGUAGCGGUGAAAUGCGUAGAGAU